This 347-nucleotide long non-coding RNA is filed under the name Lathyrus oleraceus (garden pea). RNAcentral's name for it is "Pisum sativum (pea) long non-coding RNA (PSAT_LNC038492)". Lineage: Eukaryota; Viridiplantae; Streptophyta; Magnoliopsida; Fabales; Fabaceae. The record is from RNAcentral.
UUUGACCCUCAAGGCAUAACAUUCUAGUAAGUGAGAUUGUAAGUCUCACAUUCUUCAUGACAUUAGGUGGAGACUUGACCUUUUUUCCUUUCAUGGGAGCCAGUGGCAUACUUGUUAAAUUAUCGAAGUUGGAGCCCUUCUCAUGGAAGAUGUCUUGGUUUAAGGAUUCAUACUUGUGAAUGAAUGGUUGAGUGUUCUCCAAAGAAUGACUUAAUCAAUUAAAAAUCACCUCUAACACCACUAACUUUUGACACCUUCUCAUGGAAGAUGUCUUGGUUUAAGGAUUCAUACUUGUGAAUGAAUGGUUGAGUGUUCUCCAAAGAAUGACUUAAUCAAUUAAAAAUCAC